Molecule: transfer RNA, 64 nt
Filed under: Salmonella enterica subsp. diarizonae
Lineage: Bacteria; Pseudomonadati; Pseudomonadota; Gammaproteobacteria; Enterobacterales; Enterobacteriaceae
Description: tRNA-Arg
Rfam family: tRNA
About the family: Transfer RNA (tRNA) molecules are approximately 80 nucleotides in length. Their secondary structure includes four short double-helical elements and three loops (D, anti-codon, and T loops).
Source: RNAcentral
CCGCCACUAGCUCAGCAGCCUUCUAAGCUGUUGGUGCGAGGUUCAAAUCCCCGGUGGCGGACCA